AGAGUUUGAUCCUGGCUCAGAUUGAACGCUGGCGGCGUGGCUAAAGCAUGCAAGUCGAACGUACCCGCAAGGGUAAGUGGCGGAAGGGUUAGUAAUACCAUCGAACGCACCCCGAGGUGGUGGAUAGCCGUGGGAAACUGCGGGUAAUACACCAUGAUCUCCAUGGAGCAAAGCCUUGUGCGCCUUGGGAACGGCGAUGGACCUAUCAGGUAGUUGGCGGGGUAACGGCCCACCAAGCCGAAGACGGGUAGCCGGUGUGAGAGCACGACCGGCAACAUCGGGACUGAGACACUGCCCGGACUCCUACGGGAGGCUGCAGCGACGAAUCUUCCGCAAUGGGCGCAAGCCUGACGGAGCGACGCCGCGUGUGGGAUGAAGCGCCUUCGGUGUGUAAACCACUGUCAGGGGACGGAACCAACGAUUGUCCCCAAAGGAAGAGACGGCCAACCCUGUGCCAGCAGCCGCGGUAAUACAGGGGUCUCAAGCGUUAAUCGGAAUCACUGGGCUUAAAGGGUGCGUAGGCGGGCCCGUAAGCACUCCGUGAAAGCCCCCGGCUCAACCGGGGAACAGCGGGGUGUACUGCGGGCCUCGAGGCAGACAGGGGCGGUCGGAACUGUAGGUGGAGCGGUGAAAUGCGUAGAUAUCUACAGGAACGCCGAUGGUGAAGACGGGCCGCUGGGUCUGACCUGACGCUGAGGCACGAAAGCGUGGGGAUCAAACAGGAUUAGAUACCCUGGUAGUCCACGCCGUAAACGAUGCUCGCUGGAUCGGGGGUGCUCUGAUGCACUCCUGGUCGUAGCAAAAGCGCUAAGCGAGCCGCCUGGGGAGUACGGUCGCAAGGCUAAAACUCAAAGGAAUUGACGGGGGCUCACACAAGCGGUGGAGCAUGUUGCUUAAUUCGUCAACGCGAAGAACCUUACCUGGGCUUGACAUGGCCGGAUUAACUCCUGGAAACAGGAGCCACACCCGCAAGGGUGGAACGGUCACAGGUGCUGCAUGGCUGUCGUCAGCUCGUGCUGUGAAGUGUCGGGUUAAGUCCUCUAACGAGCGCAACCCCUGUCGCUAGUUGCUCACGGGUAAAGCCGAGUACUCUAGCGAGACUGCCGCUGUAAGGCGGAGGAAGGUGGGGAUGACGUCAAGUCCUCAUGGCCCUUACGUCCAGGGAUGCAAACGUGCUACAAUGGCGUGUACAGAGCGACCCAAGGCCGCAAGGCGGAGGAAAUCGCAAAAAAGCACGCCCCAGUUCGGAUUGCAGGCUGCAACUCGCCUGCAUGAAGUCGGAAUCGCUAGUAAUCGGAGAUCAGCUACGCUCCGGUGAAUAUGUUCCUGAGCCUUGUACACACCGCCCGUCAAGUCAUGGGAGC
This 1364-nucleotide ribosomal RNA is filed under the name metagenome. RNAcentral describes it as "bacterial SSU rRNA". It matches the Rfam family "Bacterial small subunit ribosomal RNA". The record is from RNAcentral.